Lycium barbarum (goji berry) is the source of this 5130-nucleotide RNA transcript. RefSeq lists it as uncharacterized. NCBI's taxonomy places the organism in Eukaryota, Viridiplantae, Streptophyta, Magnoliopsida, Solanales, Solanaceae. The record is from RefSeq and is a predicted model, not a curated record. The transcript is spliced from 3 exons.
CGCACAUCGUCUCUCUCCCUCAUCCAUUUUUAGCCAAAGCUCAGGCCCUUUCAACCGUGGCAGAUCCUGCCACCCCCAUUUUCGUGCAAUACGCACGGCUCCUCUUCCCCUUCUCUUCUCUCUCCCUUCCAUUUCAGGCAAAACCACAGUUGCCUUUAACCAUGAAAGCUCUUGUCCACACCAUUUCCAUACAAAGAAAUUGUCCCUUCCUUCUGCUGAAUCUGAACCUCCUGUCGUUGACAGGGAAAGCUUUCCAUUUUUUCGUUCCAAAACACGACGAAUCCUCACAGACCAGAAAUGAUCGAACCAUUUUCGGUAACCCCGAAUCAAAUCACGUGAAUGGCUUCAACGUUCGGAUCAGUAGGGUUUUGACUCAAUUUCGAAUUUUAGGUUUCAACAUCCCGCCCAAAAAACCCUACAAAUCAUACUAUAAAUACAUCUCUAAGUUCGUUUUGAAAGGGGACGGAUUUUGGACGACACUCAACAUUUUUUCAUUACUACUCUAAAUCCGGGAGUUGUUCGAAUUCCGUUCUGUUUCAGUUCUGGUCAGCCACCUAAACCCUUCCUAAAUAUUUAUAUUUUCACAAUCACUGUAUUUGGGAACACACCCACUUGCAAGAUUAAGUCGUUUUUUGGCUAUUACUUUAAAAAAUCGAGGGAAGAUCCGAGACUCCCGCUCCUAAGUUCACUGCACCCACAAGAGGUAAACCCAAUCCCUUUAUUCGCUCUUCCUUCCGUUGGAGAUUGUGGCAAAAAAUGGAAUAUAUGAAAUAAAUGAGUGAAACAUGACUAUUUUUAGUUUGGUUAAUUUGGAAUUCUGUUUUUUGUUACGUUUGAAUCAUGUUGUUGAAUUGUUAUGAGGAAGCUCUUUUUAUUCGAUUUGUAUUCUCGGAUGUUGCAAAAAUCCUAUUCGCUUGCUUGAAUUCAAGGUCGUAUUUUCUGGCCGCAUAUCGUCCAAAGUAUGAGUCUUCGACAAGUGUUCCUGAGUGUUCUAUGUGUUCCAGAAUUUUUGCUUUGCGCAUUAGGAGAUUAGUUCACAUUCCCUUCUCUGUUCUUUUCUUACAUAUUUGCUUUAGAGCUUAGAUCAAUUAAGUUAAGGCUUCCAAUUUCCUGUCAAUCUGUUCUCUAAACUUUAAUGUGUCUUGUUGAUAUGUCUAACUGCCUGAUAUUCGACUCUAUUUUGAUUCUUCUCCGUUGUUUUGAGAGAAUUCUACGUUUGAGAAUCGCAACUUAGAUAUUCAUACCAAUAUGUGUUGUAGAAUCUGGACAUUUAUGUGAUAUUAAGAAUCGUGUCUUGUUUGUUUGGUAAAAUGUGAUGUAUCGUUCUCAACCUACCAGAAGUCCGUGGUUACACUUUUCAUUUUUUUACUUGAAGCAUAUUUCGUGUCUUAAUGCGUAUUAGGAAAAUAUCACCAGUUUUUUUUUUUUUUUUUUUUUUUUUUGUGUUUUGAGGAUUUAGAUGUCAUGAAAAAUAGAUAUUAAGCAGGUCUUUGUUUGUUGAGGUUACUUUUAUUGGGUCAGUUUUUGAUAUAUCAGUUCGUUAAAAGAGCAUGUUUUUUCGGGAUUUUACAUUUUGAUACAAAAUCUGGUUGUGUGCUUUAUGUGGAAAGAUGUCCCUCCAGUAUUUUAUGGUAAUCAUAUUUGGUUUACAUCUCCAUAUGCUGCUGUUAUCAUGCCUGGCUGAAUUACUAUCUUUGAAUAAGUUAGCCUAUAUUUAGCACAUUAUUUGAAGCAUCGUUUUAGUAGUUCCUCCCUAUUCUUAGCUAAGGAUCAGAUUUUAAAAAAAAAACGGAGACUAACGUUUCAGUCAUUGUGCCUGUAUAUAUCUGUUGUUUAAAGGAACCUAUCUGUUUAUUACUACUCAAUAUUUGAACUUAGUUGCUAUUAUCACUCAUGUUGAUCAACCCCGACUGGUUUGGGGUUGAAGAAUUGUUGGUUGAUCGAUGUUGUGGUUAUUUGCGCUUGGAAUGCCAAACUUGAGUGCUGUGCUUUGCCAUCCGAACUUUUUCAAACUGGAUCUGCACUUUUCAAACUGGUGAACCUCUUGUACUGUUGAGAUUGCAAAGUAUUAAUGAAGAGUAAACAGAAGUAAACCAGUGGAUAAAGUGUGUAUUUUGCCAAGUGCAGUGAUAGACUUAAGUUUAGACAAUAAAGAAACCCGAAAGAAUAGGAUGGCAAAGUUAAUACUCCUACCUUCUCCUACGCCCAAAAUGAAUAGAUGCUUAUAUGAUGAAAUAAAGUAGACGUGUACUUAGUUUGGUCUGAUGGGUUUCUGUUUCAUUGCAAGUAUAUGAUCGUAAAAAAUAUAUGAAAUCCAUCUUUCCUUGGUCACAUGAUAAAUUUUACUUAGAACUGAAGAGAUGCUUAAAUAUUUUACCUGCUGAGAAUUAAAUUUCCAUUUGCUAAUUCCUCUUAUUUUCUUUUCUUUGUUGACAUGUACACCGGAGUCGAAGAGUCUUACUUUAAGACUCGAUGUCACCCCGCAAAGGCUUGAAAUGUGCAUUCACAUCCUCCUUCAUGCCUUUUCGGUUCCUCGAAAUUCGUCCGAACAGAACUGAAGAUCUGAGAAGGGAAAUGAUAGACAUUUGGCUGUGCUUUCCUUUAAUUAUUUGUCCUUAAUAUUAUGCCUGCUAGCCUUUUAGCCGUUACUAUAGAUACUGGUUUGCUAAUUGCUCUUGUUUGUGAUCAGCUUAGAGUUUGAACAUUUUGAAUUCAGGUUCUUCGAUUUAGGCAAUUAGGAAAGUAUUUAGUUGUUAGUUAUGUCGUUUGUCACAUAGGUUUAUCACUCUUAAUUCACAAAUUAUUCACUUGUUCUACCAUGUGGACUAUAAUAUCGGAUAAAGGUUCCUUUUAGGCUGUCACGUUCUAAGGCAAAGAAGAAGAGAUAAAAAAAAAAGAAAAAGGGAAGCUGGGUAUAAAAAGGCUCAACCUCGGAUAGGACGUAUGGUUAUUAUUUGUGAGAAAUUAGAAGGUUAUCAUAUCCAAUGCAGAAAGAAGUGUUUGUCCAUAAGAAACUAAAACAUCACAAUACAUUUUAGUCACUGCCUUUCACCUUAAACACUAACUCCCACUCCUUAGUUUAACUACCUUAGGUUAAUACAUAAUUUUUACAACUUACACUUAGCUUAAUUAAUUCAGUUAAGUCCGGUCAGUUAACCAUUAUUAAUGGAUCUUAGAGGAUGCCUAAUACCUUCCUUCUAGAUUAAUUGAACCAUUACCUAGAAUUUUAAGUUAGUAGAUCUUAAAACGAAGUUAACUUUAGAAGAUAACUUUAAUAAACUUUAGGUGUCCUAAUUCAUCAUAAAUAAUUAGGUGGUGACUCCCAACUUUAAUUAAUCCCGGAAUUAUCCGGAUGUUAUAAACUAUUUUGAUUCCGGUUAAAAUAGGGUAUAACAGCGGUUUAUUGGUAUUGUUCAUGUUCGUGAUACUAGUGCUUUGUUUCUAAGAAAUGAAAUUGUUGGUUUACUUGCUCAACAUUCUUUAAGCCCAUCUUAUAUACGUGGACAAUGUUAUGAUGGAGCAAGCAAUAUGCAAGGAGAUUUAAACGGGCUUAAAAUCUUGAUACAAAAAGAAAGUAAAGGUGCUCAUUCUAUUCAUUGUUUUGCUCAUCAACUCCAAUUAACUCUUGUUGCGAUUUCUAGAAGAUGUGAUGAAGUGCAGGAACUUUUAUCGUUGGUUUCUGAUAUAUUAAAUAUGGUUGUAGCUUCUUUCAAGUGUAGAGAUGAACUUCGUGAAUCUCAAGCAAAAGAAAUUGAAGAAGCAUUAUGUAAAGGCGAACUUGAAACUGAUAGGGGCUUGAAUCAAGAACUAGGUCUUGCUAGAGUCGGUGAUACUAGAUGGGGAUCUCACUACAAAUCUUUUAAAAAUUUUAUUCUUAUGUUUGGUCCUAUCAUUGAUGUACUUGAUGCUAUUGCUGUUAAUGCCCGUUUUGAAGAAAAGUGUAGGGAAAAGGGAUAUCUUAAAGCAUGUUUAACAUUUGAGGUUGUCUUCAUGUUGCACUUCAUGCGCACUAUUUUAGCAAUCACAAAUGAGCUUAAUGCAGCUUUUCAAAAGAAAGAGCAAGACAUUGCAAAUGCCAUGCUACUUGUUGGAGUGGCAAAGGAGCGACUGCAAAAACUAAGAGAAGAAGGUUGGGAUUCACUUAUUGAUGAGUUGCUACUGCUACAGUUGAAAGAGCUUUCUCUGUGCUGAAGUUGAUUAAGACUGACUUACGAAAUCGAAUGGAUGAUGAGCUUUUGAGUGGUUGUUUGGUGCCUUAUAUAGAAAAAGAAAUAUUUAGUGCUAUUUCUAAUGAGGAUAUUAUGGAUACCUUUCAAAAGAUGAAAUCUCGUCGAGGAGAAUUGUAAUAAUGUACUUGGAAUGAGUUUUAUUAAUACGAUUUGAGUUGUCUUUUUAUAAUAUGAUAUCAUUAUAGUGAUUUAUUCAGUUGUUCACUCUUUUACAUGGUGACACUGCUUAUGAAAAAUCCUGCGUACGCCACUGCUCAAUUGGUUGGAGUGUAGAAGCGAACCUUCAGGUGUGGCUCAACAGAAAGGCUUUCAAGGUUGGCGAUGUCCUCGUUUUCAAUUACGACCCCAAACUCCAUAAUUUGGCUCAAGUGGAUAUCACAGGCUACAACACUUGCCUUCCAACAAAUAUAUUGAGCAUUGAUAACAGCGGGAAGACCAGUGGCGGAGCUAGAAUUUCCAUCGAGGGUUCAAAAUAUAAAAAAAUAAACAUACGAAGAAGUCUAAGGGGGUUCAACAGCUACUAUAUAUACAUAAAAAAUAAUUUUAACUUUGUAAAAACAGUAUUUUUUUCCACCGAGGGGGUUUGGAUGAACACUCUCGACAUAGUGUGGCCCCGCCACUGGGGAAGACCACUAUCACUAUUUCCAAAUCAGGAGUUUUCUACUACAUUUCUUCUCUCUUCAAGGAUUGCCUCGACGGUCUCAAGAUAACUAUUAUUGUACUUUGAGAACGAGUAUAAAGAAUGUUUGUACACGUGCAUCGUUACAAAUCAUCGACGCAUGUUUAUCUCUGCUAAAUUAAGUAUUGUCCUGAGUAAACUGUAACUAUGCAGGCUUAUCUCUUGUGAAAAAUAAAUUUACAUCUCUCAAUAAGAAUAUUGGUAUGUUUGUGUUUCAAAUUU